UGUGUAGGCGGUUUUCUAAGUUUGGUGUGAAAUCUCCCGGCUCAACCGGGAGGGUGCGCCGAAAACUGGGAGACUAGAGUGCGGGAUGGGAGAGUAGAAUUCCUGGUGUAGCGGUGAAAUGCGUAGAUAUCAGGAGGAAUACCGGUGGUGUAGACGGCUCUCUGGACCGCCACUGACGCUGAGACACGAAAGCGUGGGUAGCAAAUA
RNAcentral lists this ribosomal RNA (207 nucleotides) under uncultured bacterium. RNAcentral's name for it is "partial 16S ribosomal RNA". It matches the Rfam family "Bacterial small subunit ribosomal RNA", at positions 568 to 774 of the family's 1533-position model. The record is from RNAcentral.